Molecule: ribosomal RNA, 319 nt
Filed under: uncultured eukaryote
Lineage: Eukaryota
Description: partial 18S ribosomal RNA
Rfam family: Eukaryotic small subunit ribosomal RNA
Source: RNAcentral
CCCUUAGAUGUUCUGGGCAGCACGCGCGCUACAAUGGUCUUCGCAAACGGAUGCAUUCUCGAAGGAGAAUGCCAAUCUUGGAAUCUAUGCCUUGGUCGGGACAGUUGCUUGCAAUUUUUCGACUCGAACCAGGAAUUCCUUGUAAUCGUGAUUCAUCACAUCACGAUGAAUACGUCCCUGCCCUUUGUACACACCGCCCGUCGCUCCUACCGAUCGAAGAGUUAUGUGAAUUGUUUUGAUCGAUAAGAUUUGACUAUGGUCAACUCUCGUUGUGAAAUUCUGUGAAUCUGACUGUUUAGAGGAAGGAAAAGUCGUAACA